UACGUAGGGGGCAAGCGUUGUCCGGAAUCAUUGGGCGUAAAGCGCGCGUAGGCGGCCCGGUAAGUCCGCUCUGAAAGUCCAGGGCUCAACCCUGGAAAGCGGGUGGAUACUGCCGGGCUAGAAUCCGGAAGAGGCGAGUGGAAUUCCUGGUGUAGCGGUGAAAUGCGCAGAUAUCAGGAGGAACACCUAUUGCGAAGGCAGCUCGCUGGGACGUAACUGACGCUGAGACGCGAAAGCGUGGGGAGCAAACAGG
RNAcentral lists this ribosomal RNA (253 nucleotides) under uncultured bacterium. Its description in RNAcentral is "partial 16S ribosomal RNA". It matches the Rfam family "Bacterial small subunit ribosomal RNA", at positions 524 to 776 of the family's 1533-position model. The record is from RNAcentral.